Non-coding RNA from Phalacrocorax carbo (great cormorant), 79 nucleotides. The record is from RefSeq and is a predicted model, not a curated record. Lineage: Eukaryota; Metazoa; Chordata; Aves; Suliformes; Phalacrocoracidae.
CCGCGCCGUGAUGAGCUCCUUCGGCUGUUGAGUCUCACGACCCUGAGAGCCGCCCACAUGCACUACCAACUGAGCGCGG